UUAACUAAAAUUUGCAUAGAGUUGAAACGUUUGCCUACGUUUGCCGCUAGGGGCGCUGUUCCAACUGCAUACAAAUUUGAGUUA
Molecule: microRNA precursor, 84 nt
Filed under: Bombyx mori (domestic silkworm)
Lineage: Eukaryota; Metazoa; Arthropoda; Insecta; Lepidoptera; Bombycidae
Description: mir-2807 microRNA precursor family
Rfam family: mir-2807 microRNA precursor family
Source: Rfam by way of RNAcentral